Molecule: long non-coding RNA, 7168 nt
Organism: Carassius gibelio (silver crucian carp)
Lineage: Eukaryota; Metazoa; Chordata; Actinopteri; Cypriniformes; Cyprinidae
Exons: 4
Source: RefSeq, a predicted model, not a curated record
UCCUACAAUGCAUUGCGACGUGACGUAACGAUUCCGACCUAUCAGCUGACCGUCUUCAGAAACUCCAUUGUUGUUGAUUUCAACAGCAGUAUGAAAAGCAUCACAUUGUACUUUAUGUUCUUAUUCAAUAUGGAAGGUGUGUUUGGUGAAACUGUGUUAGUGAAGGAGGGAGACUCUCCCACUCUGUUCCCUAGUCUUACUGAAAUAAAGAAAGAUGAUGUGAUAGACUGGAGGUUUGGAGACAUUCUCAUAGCUAGAGUAAGAAAUAACAAUAACCCCACAACGUAUGAUGAUGCCCUUGAUGGGAAAUUCAGAGGCAGACUGGUGUUGAACGGUCAGACUGGAGAUCUCACCAUCACAGACAUCAAAGAUACAGACAGUGGUGUUUAUGAACUAACCAACAGCAUCAACACCAUUAGGAAGACAUUCACUGUCACCGGACCGCGGAUCACCGUGUAGCAUCCAGUGAUUUGAUGGUCGCUGUAGUCUCCUGUGAUUGUCCUGAGUUGAUGUUGUCUUCGGCAUCUAAGAAGGAAGAGAAAAUUAGUGAGCGAUCUGUGGCUUUGACACCUCUGUACCAAGCGAACUCACCUGUCUGCUAUCACGUUCCAUGUGAUUACCAUACAGCCCGCACUUGAAUAACGUAGCUUUCACCGUGCACCUGAGGACUAAGGAUUCACCGAGCACUUGUACCUUUUAAAUAAAUACACUGUUCUGAAUUCACCUACCUCUUUGUCCCGAGUCUAUCCUGACAGAAGGCUUGACCUAAAACACAAGGAUGAAUUCAGCGCAGCCGGAGGACAGCGCUUCUGCUAGUCCCACUCCCACAUUGGUGUAUAUGGCAAGCUCUAUAUCCCGACCAGCGCCCUUCUCUGGUAGAGAGGAAGAUUGCAAUGGGUUUUUACUACAAUGUUCACAUGCACUUGAGCAGCACGCACACAAGUACCCUACAGAGAGAUAAAAAAUAUAGUUUAUCAUACAACAAUUGUCUGGACCAGCACUGAGAUGGGCCGAAGCGCUAUAGUUCCAGGAAUCCACAAUCCCCUCCUCCUUACAGAAUUUUAUCGGCCAUUUCAAGGAAGUGUUUGGACGUCCGGUGGGGGAUUCUUCAGUCAGCGAUCAGCUCUUAAACCUGUGACAGGGCAAAAAGACCGUCUCAGAGUAGGCCUGCUAACUGUGUAUCGACAAGGACUAAAUCCUGCACUCCGACUCCAACUCGACUCGAUGAUAAUCUGGGAUUUGAAAAAUUCAUGCAGCAAGCUCUCCGUGUUCACCUGAGGUUACAGUCCUGCUAUCAAGGAGCACACCCAGUGGAGAAUGUUCCUUGCUGAAGCAUACCUGAGAAAACUCCUGAGCCACCACCAGAAAAGUGCAAGUAGAUUCCCAAUGAUUAUCUCCAGAGGAACAAAAUCGUCUUAGAGAACAAAAAUUGUGCCUGUACUGAGGGAGAGGAGACCAUUUCAUACGCACCUGUCCAUCUCGUCCUCCACGGUUAGUGGUGAGUUCGGUCCUUCCUCAACCCUCUUUUUCAAACCCACUAACCAUCUCUGUGAAGUUGAAGUUUAGAGGUCUCGAUGUCAAGGCUACCGCCAUUGUUGACUCCGGAUCAGCUGGAAAUUUCAUUUCAAGAAAGUUCGUUAAGACCCAUCGUCUACAAAGGACUCGAACUUCAAAGCCUUACCUCAUCUACGCAAUCACAGGAGAAAUUAUAAAUAAGGGGUACGUGACAUCUCAAAUCGCACUCUCUGUGUUGAACCUGAACACCAAUAACUAUUCACUCCAUUCAUACUUACCAAUAGCCAUGCAGAACUGAUACUAGGCCGGCCUUGGCUGAUUCAACACCAGCCCUUUAUAGAUUGGACCACGGGGAAAAUACUUAAGUGGGGUUGUAAUGGUCAAAAUGCCAAAGUAAAUCAUUCCAUGUCCCAUAUUGAUAACCAGCCUGUUGCUAUAUCAUUAAAUUCCACGUCCAUUGAGAGUCCCAAGGAAAACCAGUCUGUCAAUGUCCCACCUUGUUAUGCCUCCUUUGCAGAUGUUUUCAACCCCCUAGCAGCCUCCAAACUUACCCCACACCACCCUUGGGAUUGUGCUAUCAAUCUGGUUCCAGGAUAGCAGCUCCGGGAUGCCAUGUUGCCCGUGUCUUCACCAAAUUAGACUUACGGGGCACAUACAACCUGGUCAGAAUUAGAGAGGGAGAUGAGUGGAAAACGGCUUUCAUCACCCCUGCUGGACACUACGAAUACUUGGUGAUGCAGUACGGUCUAGUAAACACCCACUCCGUCUUCCAAAGCUUCUUGGAUGAAGUCCUCUGUGAGUACCUGAACCAUUUUGCUCUUGUCUAUAUAGAUGACAUCCUCAUUUACUCACCCAAUGAAAACGAUCACCAGUAUCAUGCCAAAGUACUCCAACGUCUCAGAGAAUUUUCCCUCUUUGUCAAAGCUGAGAAGUGUGUCUCUCACCAGCAAUCCAUUGAGUUCCUAGGGUACACUAUCAACAAGGAAGGGGUGAAGAUGGACGAUUGAAAGACCCAAGCCAUUACAUCGUGGCUAACACCCGAGACCAUCAAGGAGUUACAAAGGUUCCUGGGUUUCGCUAAUUUCUACCGCAGAUUUAUUAAUCAAUACAGUAUGAUUCCCGCACCCCCUUACCUCUCUCUUAAAGGGAAAACCCAAGACUCUCCAAUGGAACCGUGAAGCUGAACAGGCAUUCCAAGCUUUGAAAAACGCUUUUACCACAGCUUCAACAUCCAGAUCCAGAGAAGAAGUUCAUAGUCGGCGUCGACGCCAUCCUGUCCCAAUGUUAAGAGAACACAACUAAACCUAUGCCCUGUGCCUUUUUCUCUAGGAAGUUGUCUGCUGCGGAGACAAAUAACGAUAUAGGCAAUCGAGAACUCCUAGCAGGGAAACUGGCGUUUGAAGAGUGGAGACACUGGCUGGAGGGGGCCAGACAGCCGUUUCUUGUGCUGACGGAUCAUAAGAACCUCCAAUAUUUGAAGGAAGCCAAGAGACUCAAUCCUAGUCAAGCCAGGUGGUCUUUAUUCUUCACCAGAUUCCAUUUUCAGAUAGCUUAUCGUCCCGGAUCAAAGAACACCAGAGCUGAUACUCUGUCACGUCUCCACGCCCUUGAGGAAACCCCUGAGGAGCCAGAGCCCAUGUUGCCCACCAAGUUAUUUGUUAUUCCCAUUCAAGGUGACUUAGAUGAAAUACUCCGCGAACAAUCUCAACAACAACCCAUUCCACCCGCGUGCCACCUGGAAAGACAUUCGUAUCCGAGGAUCAUCGCAGGGCUCUUAUCCCCCAAGUACACUCUUCAGUGGGAACCGGUCAUCCAGGUGUAAAUAAAACUCUUGCUUCUUUGCAGCGCAAGUACUGGUGGCCAGGAAUGCACCAGGACGUCGAAGAGAUCAUCCGGGGAUGCGUCCUCUGCGCCAUGACCAAAGUCCCACGUCGGCUACCCACAGGAAAGCUAGUUCCCCUUACCUAUUCCACAUCGCCCUUGGUUCUCACAUCGGGGUAGACUUUGUAAUCAACAUCCCUGUUUCUGAUGAUAAAACCAUGUAUCUUCGUAACCAUUGACAGAUUUUCUAAGGCCUGCAAACUUUUAUUAUUAUGACUUUUAACCAUUAUGAGCUCUUCCCACAGCCUUUGAGGCUGCUGAGCUCCUUUUCGAACAUGUGUUUUGGAAUCCCAGAAGACACCGUGUCAGAUCGCGGACCACAAUUCAUUUCAAGGGUAUGGCGGGCAUUCUUCUCUCUACUCAAUGUCUCACUUUCGGCUAUCAUCCCCAGGCAAAUGGACAAACUGAACGCAAGAUUCAGGACAUCAGUAGCUUUUGCCAUCAGAACCAAAACCUCUGGAACCGUGACCUAAUCUGGACAGAAUAUGCACAAAACUCACUUCGUCAGUCAUCCACUAACCUAACCCAGUUUCAAUGUGUCCUAGGCUCAGGACACAUCGUUGUUUCCCCGGUCCGGUAAGCCUUCAGAAGUCCUUGCUGUUAAUACCUGGUUUCAAAACAGUGAGAGGGUAUGGGACCAGGCCCACCAUCAUCUCCAACAGGCCGUGAAUCGUCACCAGCAUUUUGCCGAUACUUACCGAAGGCCGAACCCCACAUAUCAACCUGGCCAACUGGUGUGGCUCGCAACUCAAGACAUCCGAUUAAGACAACCUUGUAGAAAACUCAGCCCUAAGUAUAUAGGACCUUUCCCAGUAGAGCGACAAAUUAACCCUGUCACCUAUCGUCUACACAUACCUGCUCAAUAUCGGAUACACCCCACCUUUCACGCUUCCCUGUUAAAGCCCCAUCACGCUCCUGUUUCUGUUCCUUCCACAGACCCCGGUCCCUGAUGAAGACCCCCCGUUACCACCCAUUGACGCUGAACCCAUCUACACUGUACGAGAGAUUCUAGACUCCCGACGUCGUGGUGGGUGACUGGAGUAUCUGGUAGACUGGGAGGACUAUGGACCAAAGGAAAGAUGUUGGGUACCUCGUCAGGAUAUCCACGACCCCAACCUGCUCAGAGGACUUUCAUACCCAGCAUCCUGAAAGACCCGCUCCAUGACCCAGAGGCAGACCCCCACGGAACAUUCAAAAGACAACAAACUUUUAAUUUUUGAGAAUAUUUAGAUCGUGGUAAUAUCCAAACAUUAUGUACCUUAAGGUUUUUAAUAAAUAGUAAUUUUUUUUUAUUUUUUUUUGCAAGUGCAAAGUAACAAGUAGAAAGAAAGAAAAUUGCACAGCAGACUUGUAUUGAGAUUCUUCUAUCCACAGAUUUUUUUUUUUCCUGGACCUUCUUUUCGCUGUAAAUGAAGGAUGCACACUAUUGCUGAAAAACACAAUCACUACUCAGCAGUCAGAUGUCUGAAUGCACAAAGGCACAGAUCCCUAAACAAGACCAAAUCUGCAGAUGAAACUUUGUUUGUAGAAGCAUGUUUUACAUUUUAACAAGCUCCUCACGACUACACCAGGUUAUGUAGGAGAAGCUGCAAAAGUGGAAUAUACAAAACAGGGUGACCUACAUUUUUAAGUAUUGUAUCACCAAAAAUGAUUGAGGUCAUGUACAUAUAUUGGGCUAUAAGUCUAUAUAUUGACUAUUGCUACCAGCCUAGCAACAGGGGAAGUCGUGGCCUAAUGGUUAGAGAGUUGGACUCGCAAUCGAAAGGUUGUGAGUUUGAGUCUCGGGCCGGACGGAAUUGUGGGUGGGGGUAGUGCAUGUACAGUGCUCUCUCCACCCUCAAUACCAUGACUUAGGUGUCCUUGAGCAAGGCAUCAAACCCCCAACUGCUCCCCGGGCGCCGCAGCAUAGAUGGCUGCCCACUGCUCCGGGUGUGUGUGUGUGUUCACUGCUCUGUGUGUGUGCACUUCGGAUGGGUUAAAUGCAGAGCACAAAUUCUGAGUAUGGGUCACCAUACUUGGCUGAAUGUCAUGUCACUUUCACUUUUCACUUUCGCUCUGUGAACUCCAUCCCUGUCAGUGUACUGUGUUUUACUCUUAUGCCUCUCUGUCUCCAGUUACCUCAGGUGGGACUCAAGCUCUGUCUCCAGGUCAAACAGCAGGGAUUGCUGUCGGGGUUUUUCUGUCGCUGGCUGCAGCUGCUGUUGUUGUUUUCUUCUUCAGGAAAAAAAGUCAAGUUUAUUCCACAGAAUGAGCUUCUGUGACAGCUGAUGACUGACUCUGGCGAGUUACUCAAGUCAGAAGUUCAUUUUUCAUCAUCAACAAUGAUUCUUAUUUUAGCAGAGUGUCCAAUAAUAUGGAUUUCUGGAUGGAUUAAUAAUGUCAUUGUCAAUAGUUUUCCUUGAAAAUGUGUGACCGAAAAGCACUUUCUAAUUAAUUUGUUUUAAUAAUCUUUAAAUGAAAUGACCUGAUGUUUGACCAAAAUGUUACCUACAUAACAGAAAAGAACUUCCCACCUGAGUUCUUCACUCUGUAUAUAUUUAUUUAUUUAUUUAUUUACAUUGUGUAAUUUUUUUUUCUUUAUUUUUGGUCAGAUUCCUGGUCAGAUUGGACACUUCCAGCAGCUUCCUUACAAACCAUUAUUCAUAACAUUUAUGUAACAUUAUCAUUAUUCAAUGUCAUAUAUCAUUUUCAAUAUCAUUUCAAAAUAAAUGUCUUAUUUAUCCUCUGGUGAACUAUUUAAAAUCAUCUGCAUCCAGGUAAAUUGAAUUGAUAUUGCACCUUUCAUAAAUAUUAGGAAUUGCAUGUAAUGUCUACUGGAUAAACUGCUGGCUGUUUCAUUAGUUCAUUAUUAGUUAUGUGUUGAAUGAGAGCCAGUGUUUCUCUCCAAUGUGUGUUUUUCAUAUAACGUGGCAUGUGACAUUUUCUUCACUACUAAAAAUGUCUGGAAACAUUAGUAUAAUUCCAAAAUUGUCCAGUUGAAUGUAAAUCUAUGAAAAGUUUGUUGUGAUGCUUUUUUACUGCAAGGCAUGUUUGCCAACUUUUAUAUUAUUUUUAGUUUCUAUUUGUUUUUAUUAGGAACUGCGACUUAUUUUUAUGUUAUACAAAUUGAUUGCACUUAAUUCUAUUGACAUUGAAUGUAUCUAUAUUUUUGUAUUUUUUGAGUGGAUCCUGCUCAUCGGUUUCUCUUGAUUGUUAAUGUUAAUUUAUUUGGUGAUUUUAUUUAUUUUUGUAUUUAAUUGUUUUCGUUUGUUUUGUAUUUCUGAUUGUGUCAGGGUUAUUUUAUUUCACGCUUCAGAGUGAAUUAUUUUUUUGUUUAACAUUGAGCCUGAUGAAACGCUAAUAAAACAAAUGAAUGUCCAGCGGCUGUCCACAUUCUCUUCUCUCUCACAAUUGUGCUUAACUUUUAAUGUUUACUUUUAUACUAUGCUGUUAUUAUCUAAUAGUUUUGCUCAGCUUUGCUGCUCAGUUAAGCUUAUCUCAAAAAUAUUUUAUCAGCAUCGUGCACACUAUGUUGUUUUCCAAAUAGCCAAUACAUGAGUAUUAUGUAUAACAUUUUAAAGUUUGCAUUCAACUUGAGGCAUAUUGCAUGUUUUUUUUUUAUAGCACUCACUAGAAUAAGCUACUUUUUUUCACAAAUGAACCAGUUCAAAAUUUGACGUACUCGACACUGUGAUGUAACCUGAAAGAUUAAUGACUGUUUGUUUGUUUUGUGAUGGUUGUUCAUGAGUCCCUUGUUUGUCCUAAGCAGUUAAAACUGUCCACUGUUCAUCAG